This 332-nucleotide ribosomal RNA is filed under the name uncultured eukaryote. RNAcentral describes it as "partial 18S ribosomal RNA". It matches the Rfam family "Eukaryotic small subunit ribosomal RNA", at positions 1470 to 1796 of the family's 1831-position model. The record is from RNAcentral.
CCCUUAGAUGUUCUGGGCUGCACGCGCGCUACACUGAUGCGCUCAACGAGUUUACGAACUUGCCCGGAAGGGUUGGUAAAUCUUUUUAAAACGCAUCGUGAUGGGGAUAGACCAUUGCAAUUAUUGGUCUUAAACGAGGAAUUCCUAGUAAGCGCAAGUCAUCAGCUUGCGUUGAUUACGUCCCUGCCCUUUGUACACACCGCCCGUCGCUACUACCGAUUGAAUGGUUUAGUGAGAUCUUCGGAUUGGAGCCCUCAGGAGCAGCGAUGCUUCCUUGGGAAUUCGAGAAGUUGCUCUAACUGANUNAUUUAGNGGAAGUAAAANUCGUANCA